GGCGGGUUGGCAGAGUGGUCGAACGCGACCGACUGUAAAUCGGUUGGCGGUGCUAGUCCCACCGUCCAGGGGUUCGAAUCCCUUACCCGCCUCCA
RNAcentral lists this transfer RNA (95 nucleotides) under Acidobacteriaceae bacterium. Its description in RNAcentral is "tRNA-Tyr". It matches the Rfam family "tRNA". Rfam says of the family: Transfer RNA (tRNA) molecules are approximately 80 nucleotides in length. Their secondary structure includes four short double-helical elements and three loops (D, anti-codon, and T loops). Lineage: Bacteria; Pseudomonadati; Acidobacteriota; Terriglobia; Terriglobales; Acidobacteriaceae. The record is from RNAcentral.